GUGAGGUAACGGCUCACCAAGGCAUCGACGGGUAGCUGGUCUGAGAGGAUGAUCAGCCACACUGGGACUGAGACACGGCCCAGACUCCUACGGGAGGCAGCAGUGGGGAAUAUUGCACAAUGGGCGCAAGCCUGAUGCAGCAACGCCGCGUGCGGGAAGAAGGCCCUAGGGUUGUAAACCACUUUCAGCAGGGAAGAAACUGACGGUACCUGCAGAAGAAGGUGCGGCCAACUACGUGCCAGCAGCCGCGGUGACACGUAGGCACCAAGCGUUGUCCGGAUUUAUUGGGCGUAAAGAGCUCGUAGGCGGUUCAGUAAGUCGGGUGUGAAAACUCUGGGCUCAACCCAGAGACGCCACCCGAUACUGCUGUGACUUGAGUACGGUAGGGGAGCGGGGAAUUCCUGGUGUAGCGGUGAAAUGCGCAGAUAUCAGGAGGAACACCAGUGGCGAAGGCGCCGCUCUGGGCCGUAACUGACGCUGAGGAGCGAAAGCGUGGGUAGCAAACAGGAUUAGAUACCCUGGUAGUCCACGCCGUAAACGUUGGGCACUAGGUGUGGGUCUCAACCAACGAGAUCCGCGCCGUCGCUAACGCAUUAAGUG
This 600-nucleotide ribosomal RNA is filed under the name uncultured Actinomycetes bacterium. Its description in RNAcentral is "bacterial SSU rRNA". It matches the Rfam family "Bacterial small subunit ribosomal RNA", at positions 252 to 866 of the family's 1533-position model. Lineage: Bacteria; Bacillati; Actinomycetota; Actinomycetes. The record is from RNAcentral.